GAUCAUGGCUCAGGAUGAACGCUAGCGGCAGGCUUAACACAUGCAAGUCGAGGGGCAACGCGAGUAGCAAUACUUGGCGGCGACCGGCGCAAGGGUGCGUAACGCGUGAGCAACAUGCCCGUAUCAGGGGGAUAAUCCAGGGAAACUUGGUCUAAUACCCCAUAGUAAUUUUGUAAGGCAUCUUAUAAGAUUUAAAGCUUUGGUGGAUACGGAUUGGCUCGCGUGACAUUAGCUGGAUGGUAAGGUAACGGCUUACCAUGGCUAUGAUGUCUAGGGGUUCUGAGAGGAAGGUCCCCCACACUGGAACUGAGACACGGUCCAGACUCCUACGGGAGGCAGCAGUGAGGAAUAUUGGACAAUGGAUGGAAAUCUGAUCCAGCCAUGCCGCGUGAAGGAAGAAGGUCCUAUGGAUUGUAAACUUCUUUUGUAUGGGAGCAAUAAGGCCUACGAGUAGGUUGAUGAGAGUACCAUACGAAUAAGCACCGGCUAACUCCGUGCCAGCCGCGGC
RNAcentral lists this ribosomal RNA (508 nucleotides) under uncultured bacterium. RNAcentral describes it as "bacterial SSU rRNA". It matches the Rfam family "Bacterial small subunit ribosomal RNA", at positions 15 to 518 of the family's 1533-position model. The record is from RNAcentral.